This is a long non-coding RNA of Anoplopoma fimbria (sablefish), 529 nucleotides long. RefSeq lists it as uncharacterized. The record is from RefSeq and is a predicted model, not a curated record. Lineage: Eukaryota; Metazoa; Chordata; Actinopteri; Perciformes; Anoplopomatidae. The transcript has 4 exons.
GAGGAGGUCAUUAAUACCACCGGUCAAGGCUAAUGAAAGCCAUUCAUCGUGUCUCUUGUUUCUUCAAACAACAGACUACUGAAUGAAGGGACUUGAAGGGCCUAGAGGACACAAGAAGUGAAGCGCAUGAAACAAAUAUUUACGUUCCUUGAGAUCCUUCAGCACCGCCGCUCAAAGGCGUAUCUGACACAUCUGGGAACCAAGAGUGGAUUAAGUACUCCGUGUCUACAAGUGUUUCUGAAAAACGAGUGUGUGUGAAGGGCUGAAGAAUGGAAGCCAUGCCACAACCCCGCACUGGCAUGUUCAAAACUGUGGAAAUAUUGGGAGACUUACCACAGAUGGACAUCAAAGUGUUGGAUGAAGAUGAAGCAUACCGGACCCAGUUGAUCGAGAAAAUCCAAACUCUUUCACCUUUAUCUUGAACUUCCUUUCAACCAGCUGCUGAGCAGAGACUGCACCAGCUGACCACAGACAGCAGAUACCGAAUGUGACUGUACACACAUGACAAUGUAAAAAUACUUAAAACCUA